This 890-nucleotide ribosomal RNA is filed under the name uncultured bacterium. Its description in RNAcentral is "bacterial SSU rRNA". It matches the Rfam family "Bacterial small subunit ribosomal RNA", at positions 8 to 887 of the family's 1533-position model. The record is from RNAcentral.
AGAGUUUGAUUCGGGCUCAGAUUGAACGCUGGCGGCAGGCUUAACACAUGCAAGUCGAGCGGCAGCGGAAAGAAGCUUGCUUCUUUGCCGGCGAGCGGCGGACGGGUGAGUAAUGUCUGGGGAUCUGCCCGAUGGAGGGGGAUAACUACUGGAAACGGUAGCUAAUACCGCAUAAUGUCGCAAGACCAAAGUGGGGGACCUUCGGGCCUCACACCAUCGGAUGAACCCAGAUGGGAUUAGCUAGUAGGUGGGGUAAUGGCUCACCUAGGCGACGAUCCCUAGCUGGUCUGAGAGGAUGACCAGCCACACUGGAACUGAGACACGGUCCAGACUCCUACGGGAGGCAGCAGUGGGGAAUAUUGCACAAUAGGGGAAACCCUGAUGCAGCCAUGCCGCGUGUGUGAAGAAGGCCUUCGGGUUGUAAAGCACUUUCAGCGGGGAGGAAGGCAAUGGCGUUAAUAGUGUCAUUGAUUGACGUUACCCGCAGAAGAAGCACCGGCUAACUCCGUGCCAGCAGCCGCGGUAAUACGGAGGGUGCGAGCGUUAAUCGGAAUUACUGGGCGUAAAGCGUACGCAGGCGGUCUGUUAAGUCAGAUGUGAAAUCCCCGGGCUUAACCUGGGAACUGCAUUUGAAACUGGCAGGCUAGAGUCUCGUAGAGGGGGGUAGAAUUCCAGGUGUAGCGGUGAAAUGCGUAGAGAUCUGGAGGAAUACCGGUGGCGAAGGCGGCCCCCUGGACGAAGACUGACGCUCAGGUACGAAAGCGUGGGGAGCAAACAGGAUUAGAUACCCUGGUAGUCCACGCUGUAAACGAUGUCGAUUUGAAGGUUGUGGUCUUGAGCCGUGGCUUUCGGAGCUAACGCGUUAAAUCGACCGCCUGGGGAGUACGGCC